RNAcentral lists this ribosomal RNA (255 nucleotides) under uncultured bacterium. RNAcentral's name for it is "partial 16S ribosomal RNA". It matches the Rfam family "Bacterial small subunit ribosomal RNA", at positions 524 to 776 of the family's 1533-position model. The record is from RNAcentral.
UACGUAGGGCGCAAGCGUUGUCCGGAAUUAUUGGGCGUAAAGAGCUCGUAGGCGGCUUGUCACGUCGGGUGUGAAAGCCCGGGGCUUAACCCCCGGGUCUGCAUUCGAUACGGGCAGGCUAGAGUGUGGUAGGGGGAGAUCGGAAUUCCUGGUGUAGCGGUGAAAUGCGCAGAUAUCAGGAGGAACACCGGUGGCGAAGGCGGAUCUCUGGGCCAUUACUGACGCUGAGGAGCGAAAGCGCGGGGAGCGAACAGG